ACAAGUAGCGGAGCAUGUGGUUUAAUUCGAAGCAACGCGAAGAACCUUACCUAAGCUUGACAUCCCAAUGACAUCUCCUUAAUCGGAGAGUUCCCUUCGGGGACAUUGGUGACAGGUGGUGCAUGGUUGUCGUCAGCUCGUGUCGUGAGAUGUUGGGUUAAGUCCCGCAACGAGCGCAACCCUUGUCUUUAGUUGCCAUCAUUAAGUUGGGCACUCUAGAGAGACUGCCAGGGAUAACCUGGAGGAAGGUGGGGAUGACGUCAAAUCAUCAUGCCCCUUAUGCUUAGGGCUACACACGUGCUACAAUGGGUAGUACAGAGGGUUGCCAAGCCGUAAGGCGGAGCUAAUCCCUUAAAGCUACUCUCAGUUCGGAUUGUAGGCUGAAACUCGCCUACAUGAAGCUGGAGUUACUAGUAAUCGCAGAUCAGAAUGCUGCGGUGAAUGCGUUCCCGGGUCUUGUACACACCGCCCGUCACACCACGGGAGUUGGAGACGCCCGAAGCCGAUUAUCUAACCUUUUGGAAGAAGUCGUCGAAGGUGGAAUCAAUAACUGGGGUGAAGUCGUAACAAGGUAGCCGUAUCGGAAGGUGCGGCUGGAUCACCUCCUUUCUAAGGA
This 616-nucleotide ribosomal RNA is filed under the name Clostridioides difficile. RNAcentral's name for it is "bacterial SSU rRNA". It matches the Rfam family "Bacterial small subunit ribosomal RNA", at positions 925 to 1533 of the family's 1533-position model. Lineage: Bacteria; Bacillati; Bacillota; Clostridia; Peptostreptococcales; Peptostreptococcaceae. The record is from RNAcentral.